Molecule: long non-coding RNA, 1267 nt
Filed under: Oryctolagus cuniculus (rabbit)
Lineage: Eukaryota; Metazoa; Chordata; Mammalia; Lagomorpha; Leporidae
Description: lncRNA (ENSOCUG00000030545.1)
Source: RNAcentral
AUGUUGGUGCACACUCAAACCACACCUAAAAUACAGGAAUGCUCUUCCACGCUGUUCUAUGAUUGCUCUGUACCAUCAUUCUGGGGGUCGUGGGAAGGUAGAACUUCACAAAAGCUUGUGAAAGGAGGGAUAAAGAAGGAUGGCAAAGAGGCUGACGGAGCAGAAGUCACAUCUUGGCAUUAUAGGCAAAUGCUUCAAGUAGCCCACUUUCUUCCAGAACUCCUGGAGACACUAGAAGAACCUGGACUCCCACGGUAUAUAAAAUGAAAGUGGACUCAGUUUUAGUUAAGUAUUAAUUGAAUGUAAAGGUCAUGUUAAACUAUACGUCAGGACUAAAAUGGUUUUGUUUUUUUUUUUUUAAUAAUUGACAAUAGAACUCCUUUAUUGCCUUUACUACCUUUCUGUUCCAUGUUACUAUUUUUUAUUUUACCUUCUCUACUGUAUAAAUGGCAAUCAUUCUGUCAUCCUGGUGAUUUUGUUUAGUUCCACUAUGAUAGAUUGAUUUGAUGACAUAGCUCUCAGAGUGAGAGACAGACAGGGCUCCCAUCUGCCAGCUCACUCUUGAAAGGCCCAAGAGCCAGGAAUUCCAUGCAGGUCUCUCACACGGGUGUCAGGAACCCAAGUACUUCAGCCAUCACCUGCUAUCUUAUGCAUUAGCAGGAAGCUGGAAUGACGGAAAGAGCCAGACUCGAACCCAGGCACUCUGAUAUGGGAUGUGGGCAUCACCAGCAAGUCUUAUUCACUGGGCACAACACCUGCCCCUAAUUCAUCCAAUUUCUAAAUAAUCUAGACUACUUUAUUUUUACUGCACAUAUUAAUAUAGAUAUAUGUAAUAUGUAUAAUUUUCUUGUUCAUUAAUAUGUUCAGGUACAUAAUUUUAUGUCAUAUGAUAAUGCAAGAAUUUUUUAACUAGACAAUUACAUUCCUCUUUUAGAUUAAAAAAAUGGAGAGAGAGAGAGAGAGAUUUUAAGAUUUCCAUUUAAAAGAAUGAUUUGAUGUUCCCACAAUACUGGAAUGUACCAAAAUUACAUUUCAAACUCAUUUGUAUUGGCCUCAGUUUCUAAAGUCUUUUACUGUAAUUUUACUAGCGUAAAAUACGUGGUGACACUAACACAAACAAUUCCUAACAGAGACUAUUUUAAAUUUCCAUUUAAUGAAAGGGUACAACUUGAAUUUCCUAAGUUCUCCUUGAUUAGGCACCUGUGAGGCUUGUAUACUGUCAUAAAUCAAUUUUACAAAUACAGCAUUAAAAAGAAAUUAAAGAAGG